CAUUCAGUACCUGCACAUGCUGUCUCUCCGCUAGCUGAAUUGCAGCUGCAACCCUUCUGCUAGUGUCUGUCUGCGCAGUGACAGGGUUAAACCACAGAGCUCGAACGCCUUUGUAGAGAGGACCAGGAACUACUGCAAGGGGGGAAAUUAAUAUAAAAGGAACUUCCUGUCCCCAACACUCCGUCCUUCUCACUUGUAAUUUAGCCCACUGCAGCAGUUGUGCAUUAGAGUUGCGUGGUUGAAUCCGUUUCCAAAGAAGCAUCGGCCCCAAACAAGGAGGACUAGGUUUCCCUGGUCCCACGUGCUGCCAGCCCAGCGAGGUGAGUCUGGGCUAAGAGGAGACAGCAGCGAGAGUCGUAGGAGGGCUGCAGAAUUGAACAGCGGGGAGGCAAGAAAUCUCUGCCUGCAGACCCAGGGGAACCGGCAGAGGCGAGAGAAGACGAGCCGGGGGGAGCCAACUCAGGGGCAGCUCGUAGUGGGGAGCUGAGGAGGCAGGCAACCCAGCUCCUUCUCCGGUUGUUCCUGGGCCAGGGAAAAUAAUGAUCCAAACAGCGGACCAAAUUCAGUGAUGAAUCCUGGUCACGUGCUCCCUGAGGAACAUUGCGCAUGUGCUAAGAAGUCUCAUUACAGCAUCUCGGUUGGAGCCAGGAGAGGGAGAGAGAGCAAGCAGUAACUGCUGGGAGCUUUAGGAAUAGGAACUGUGACCCAUUACAGGACUUAAGCCUGCAGGAAGCACCUCUUGCGAGUGAAUUUCACUUGGACCAAUAAAGCCAUCUAGAUUUGUUUAAAUAGUUCAUCUCCAGAGUGUGAUGUGCAAGCCUACAAAUCAUCAAACCACCACAAAAGGUACG
This is a non-coding RNA of Chrysemys picta bellii (western painted turtle), 851 nucleotides long. The record is from RefSeq and is a predicted model, not a curated record. NCBI's taxonomy places the organism in Eukaryota, Metazoa, Chordata, Testudines, Emydidae.